Stomoxys calcitrans (stable fly) is the source of this 74-nucleotide non-coding RNA. The record is from Rfam. NCBI's taxonomy places the organism in Eukaryota, Metazoa, Arthropoda, Insecta, Diptera, Muscidae.
GCCCCGGUAGCCGAGUUGGUAAUGUGCUUGGAUUACCAGUUCAGGGGUCGUGGGUUCGAUUCCCGCCAGAAGCC